GUCCUGGCAUGCAUGGUUUCACCUGAGCUCAGCAGAGGAAAGAGCCAGGGCCGAGUCGAGCCGAGGCACGAGCUGACAGAGGUCUUUGAUUUUUUCCUCUGCGCUUUUUCCCGAAGGGGCCCCAGGAGCGGAGCCAUUCACCGUCCAAAGCAAUAAAUGUGCAAAGCAGGUCAGGGGGACUGGUACUGCAUUUCAAAGCUGACGUGCGAACGCUGGAGCACAGCCAAAAUGCCUGGAAAAGGUAACAAGUCGGACAAGAAAUCCACCAACAAGCCACCUCAGAGUCCUAAAGAUCAGCCGAAGAAAGGUGACCAGAAAGGAGACGACAACAAGAAGCAAGGAGGACAGCCGAAGGGAGAGAAGCAAUAACUUCCAGGCCUUCGUGAAGCUGGCCCUGGAGACGCUCUUGGGUUCCUGCAACCGUAAAUACCGCAGCCCUCGAGGUAGACAAAGCUGAAGUGACAAAAUAAGAACGGCGGAUCCUACGCAUUUCAGCUCUUAAUUGGAGCCUCUCGGUCCCACAACGCCUGCUGUCAUGGGUUUUAGGAGUUUUCCGAGACACUAUCCGAGACUCGUCACUUUCCUAGCCAUUUUUACAUCUCAUCCUC
Long non-coding RNA from Hemibagrus wyckioides, 608 nucleotides. RefSeq lists it as uncharacterized. NCBI's taxonomy places the organism in Eukaryota, Metazoa, Chordata, Actinopteri, Siluriformes, Bagridae. The transcript has 4 exons. The record is from RefSeq and is a predicted model, not a curated record.